AACACCGAGAGACAGACCCUCUUUAUCUUCAUCGUCCUCUCGCGAACAUAACCUGCCGCCUGAUAAAUACUCCACACUCCACCCCACCCCUUCACCACUUCUCUCUCUGCACAUUUCCCAUGGCCGAGUCCUCCGCCAAGCACUCUUCAGAUUUCGGUAACUGCCGCGACGGCGUCGUUCCGCACAUGAACAAGAACCCCCUCAAGUUUCAUCUCCAGAAGCUCAGCCUUGAGCUCACUUGCCCUCUCUAGUUGCCUAGGGUUUUUUAAUCGGCCGACAUUGCUUCCAUGCAAUCACAUCUUCUGCAAGUUCGUCUCUUUCUUCGAUUGACAUGAUUUUCAAAGUUCUGAUCUUUUUCUUGCUUUGGGUUUUACUUGCAGCACCUGUGUACCCAAUCGGACCAAUUUUGGAGCAGAGUGCCCUCUGUGUAAUAUCCAAGUUCCCGGUCAAGUUUCAAGUAAGCUGCGUUUGAAAUUCUGAGGGUCAAGGGCUGUAUAAGUAUCAGACAACCUUUCCAGCUGCGUUUAGUAAAGCUUUAAUCAGAACUAAUUUGGCAUAUUCAAUAUCCUCAGGUCUCUGAAAUUUGUUUACUUGGCUCUUCGCGCAGCUGCUGUGGCAUUUCUAUAUAAGUACAUUGGAUUCCCUGCUCCCUGCAUUACAUGAUGUUUUGAUAGAAUGCCUUGGUAGAAUGUUUUGUAAACUCAAAUAAUUUUAGGGAUAGGAAACUUUGUCUCUUAAAUUGUUAGCAACAACA
Long non-coding RNA from Rosa rugosa (rugosa rose), 754 nucleotides. RefSeq lists it as uncharacterized. The record is from RefSeq and is a predicted model, not a curated record. NCBI's taxonomy places the organism in Eukaryota, Viridiplantae, Streptophyta, Magnoliopsida, Rosales, Rosaceae. The transcript has 4 exons.